Molecule: ribosomal RNA, 484 nt
Filed under: uncultured bacterium
Lineage: Bacteria
Description: bacterial SSU rRNA
Rfam family: Bacterial small subunit ribosomal RNA
Source: RNAcentral
UUCUGGCUCAGGACGAACGCUGGCGGCGUGCCUAACACAUGCAAGUCGAGCGAGGAGAUCCUUCGGGAUGAUCCUAGCGGCGGACGGGUGAGUAACACGUGGGCAACCUGCCUCAUAGAGAGGAAUAGCCUUCCGAAAGGGAGAUUAAUACCUCAUAACAUUGCAGUUUCGCAUGGAACAGCAAUUAAAGGAGCAAUCCGCUAUGAGAUGGGCCCGCGGCGCAUUAGCUAGUUGGUGAGGUAACGGCUCACCAAGGCGACGAUGCGUAGCCGACCUGAGAGGGUGAUCGGCCACAUUGGGACUGAGACACGGCCCAGACUCCUACGGGAGGCAGCAGUGGGGAAUAUUGCACAAUGGGGGAAACCCUGAUGCCAGCAACGCCGCGUGAGUGAUGACGGCCUUCGGGUUGUAAAGCUCUGUCUUCAGGGACGAUAAUGACGGUACCUGAGGAGGAAGCCACGGCUAACUACGUGCCAGCCGCGGC